UACGAAGGGGACUAGCGUUGUUCGGAUUUACUGGGCGUAAAGGGCGCGUAGGCGGUCAGCACAAGUCAGUUGUGAAAUCUCCGGGCUUAACUCGGAAAGGUCAACUGAUACUGUGCGACUAGAGUGCGGAAGGGGCAACUGGAAUUCUCGGUGUAGCGGUGAAAUGCGUAGAUAUCGAGAGGAACACCUGCGGCGAAGGCGGGUUGCUGGGCCGACACUGACGCUGAUGCGCGAAAGCCAGGGGAGCGAACGGG
This 254-nucleotide ribosomal RNA is filed under the name uncultured bacterium. RNAcentral describes it as "partial 16S ribosomal RNA". It matches the Rfam family "Bacterial small subunit ribosomal RNA", at positions 524 to 776 of the family's 1533-position model. The record is from RNAcentral.